Molecule: non-coding RNA, 73 nt
Organism: Cordylochernes scorpioides
Lineage: Eukaryota; Metazoa; Arthropoda; Arachnida; Pseudoscorpiones; Chernetidae
Source: the annotation of a GenBank genome assembly
GUUACACGGCAUAGUGGACAUGGCAUCUGCCCGGUAAGCGGAACAUUGUGGGUUCGAUUCCCAUCCCUGAACA